GACAGAGGUGGCGAGCGUUGUCCGGAUUCACUGGGCGUAAAGGGUGUGUAGGCGGUCGUGUAAGUCAGUUGUGAAAUCCGUCGGCUCAACCGAAGAAGAGCGACUGAUACUGCACGGCUGGAGUGCGGAAGAGGAAAGUGGAAUUCCUGGUGUAGCAGUGAAAUGCGUAGAUAUCAGGAAGAACACCAAUGGCGAAGGCGACUUUCUGGUCCGCUACUGACGCUGAGGCACGAAAGCCAGGGGAGCGAACGGG
RNAcentral lists this ribosomal RNA (253 nucleotides) under uncultured bacterium. RNAcentral describes it as "partial 16S ribosomal RNA". It matches the Rfam family "Bacterial small subunit ribosomal RNA", at positions 524 to 776 of the family's 1533-position model. The record is from RNAcentral.